GACGAACGCUGGCGGUGUGCUUCAUACAUGCAAGUCGAACGAUAAGGCCCUUCGGGGUACAUAAGUGGCGGACGGGUGAGUAACACGUAGGAAAUCUACCCUAAGAUGGGGGACAACCUUGGGAAACUAGGGCUAAUACCCCAUAUGUGGAGAGCUGAAAUGCUUUUCAUGAAAGAUUUAUCGUCUUAGGAUGAGCCUGCGUCUGAUUAGCUAGUUGGUAGGGUAAAGGCCUACCAAGGCGACGAUCAGUAGCUGGUUUGAGAGGAUGAUCAGCCACAAUGGGACUGAGACACGGCCCAUACUCCUACGGGAGGCAGCAGUAGGGAAUUUUGCGCAAUGGGCGAAAGCCUGACGCAGCAACACCGCGUGAGUGAUGACGCCCCUUGGGGUGUAAAGCUCUGUCAGUAGGGACGAACUUUGACGGAACCUACAGAGGAAGCAUCGGCUAACUACGUGCCAGCCGCCGCAGUAA
RNAcentral lists this ribosomal RNA (472 nucleotides) under uncultured bacterium. RNAcentral describes it as "partial 16S ribosomal RNA". It matches the Rfam family "Bacterial small subunit ribosomal RNA", at positions 28 to 523 of the family's 1533-position model. The record is from RNAcentral.